This 266-nucleotide ribosomal RNA is filed under the name uncultured bacterium. RNAcentral's name for it is "partial 16S ribosomal RNA". It matches the Rfam family "Bacterial small subunit ribosomal RNA", at positions 524 to 786 of the family's 1533-position model. The record is from RNAcentral.
UACGUAGGGUGCAAGCGUUAAUCGGAAUUACUGGGCGUAAAGCGUGCGCAGGCGGUUUUGUAAGUCUGUCGUGAAAUCCCCGGGCUCAACCUGGGAAUUGCGAUGGAGACUGCAAGGCUAGAAUCUGGCAGAGGGGGGGUAGAAUUCCACGUGUAGCAGUGAAAUGCGUAGAGAUGUGGAGGAACACCGAUGGCGAAGGCAGCCCCCCUGGGUCAAGAUUGACGCUCAUGCACGAAAGCGUGGGGAGCAAACGAGGAUUAGAAACC